This is a long non-coding RNA of Helianthus annuus (common sunflower), 776 nucleotides long. RefSeq lists it as uncharacterized. The record is from RefSeq and is a predicted model, not a curated record. The transcript has 3 exons. Lineage: Eukaryota; Viridiplantae; Streptophyta; Magnoliopsida; Asterales; Asteraceae.
UAAUUUGGAAAUUAAACGGAUAAAGUGUUCCCAUCCAUUGCAAAAAUUAAUGGUUUUUAAUAGUUAUUUUUCAGGUUCCACCCAGAGUAAUAGAGUAAUAUGACGCCUUUGUGGCUGCAGUAGAUAAAGGAAAUAUAAUAACAAUGCCAAACAGAAGCAUGCCUACUCCUAGCGCGCUUUUAAUGGGAGACCCAUUUAACACGUGACACCCGUUCUGGUGUAUGAAUGAUUGUUGUGUUAUCAGAUAUCGUCUUACUUCGCGACCUUUGUAGACCACUAAGUAAUCUUAAUGAUGCACCUACACUUUGCAAUUAUCUUGAGUGCUUCUAUGCUCUUAGAAAGUCGUGUCAUCUACGAUAAACACAUUGGUGGCUGCUCUAUACAAGGUAUUUUGUGCAUCACCAGACUCAUGAAGAAAAGAAAUGCGUCAAGCAUGCUUCAAUUAUCUUAGCCUUGAAGGCAUAUGCUCACAAGGACCGAUAUCUUUACUUUCAUGACUCAACCGACGCCUCAUAGUCCUAUUUCUUCAUUUUUUUUCUAUUGCUAUCUAUGGUGUUGGCUUUUUCUCUCAACCCGUUUCCAUCACCAAAACCGUUAUGGCUUGGGGCUCGACUCAUCUUGGGUGCAUCUGGGAUCAUCUUUCCAAUUAUCAAGUCGGAAGGAGUUCGACAAAUGUACUUCCCAGCAAUGGUUGCAGCAUACUACAAAGCUCCUCAAGUUGCUUAACCAUCAAUCAUAUCUUGAGUUUUUAAUGUUGGAAUGGUAUUGGAAGUAGG